CUCUUGUAACGCCGCGUCAACGCCGCUUGCACACCGGUAGUCGGUUGUUGGGACAAAACGCCUAACUGUAUGUAAAACCAGGUGGUUGUGCAAAUCGGGUUGUGAUGUGGACCUUGCCCAGUACCGAUUUAAACACGACUUGCUAAAGUUUAGAAAUCCAUUUUUCCUGGUGUUCGCGGACACUACACCUGUGCGUUGACUAAGGGUCACUGGCAACUCUCGUUGAUGCUCCCUGGAACGUUUGCUAGCAGGUCAGAGCCACUUUAGGAAUAAAGCUCAACUACCACUGGUACGAAUAUGUGCAUUGGCUAGGGCGAGUAAAUGCAUCACGGCUUGAAUUAAAAAACUGUGGCUUAGGCAUCCAUUUCGCAUGCAUUUUACUCGGAUUCUGCUCCACGUCAUCGUUCAUUAUGUUGAGGUUGCGGCUCGUUGAUGUCGAGACCACCGCUAUGUGAUCAUUUCGGUCAUCGGAACCCUGGUUGGCUUGCCUUCUCCGUCGCGCACAGAGGGGCUGUGAAACCUCCACAUUUGACCACGUGGUGGAUUGAAUUGCUAACGGCCCUGUGGUUAUGGCCUGCUCCCGCAGCCCGCGCGGCAACCCAGGCCUGCGUGGAACGCAGCUGCGUCAGGACAACAUCGCAAGAGCUUCAAUUGCAUCGUUAGGUCGGCUUCGAGCAACCUCACAGUACCGGAGGUAAGCGCAGCGGAAGGCCAGUCGCAAUCCAUUCCGCUGCUCGGUCAUUUGUACUAUUGGUACUUUACUCAGCCAGCAGGUAAGGCGCCUUACAUCCAAAUUCAAGUACCAAUGGCCUCAUACUGGAGUUGGGCGAUGAAUUCACUGGAUCACGCAGUCGAGCAAUCCCUAGCCAGAGAUGGGUUUUGCCAAGAGAAACUCACGUUAACCAACUAACCAAACAACGAACUCCAACCCACACCUUUCAAUUCCCACCUCCUUAUCACUCCGCGGCUUCCAAAUUGCUCCAACUAGCAGUUCCUCCCCGCCACCACCUUCACCACCACUUUCAUCACCGCCCACAGCUUCACCGCCACCACCAGCACUGCGGCUGCUUCAACGGGCUUCAGCGGCAGCGGCGGCGGAGGGAGGGACGGCGGCGAGUGGGGACACUUCGGACUUGGCUGUAGCAGCCUGGCAGCUCCUAAAUCCGGUCCCACUGCUACAGCAGCUACAACGUUUCAUUCUUCAGUUGGCGUAGCCGGCGUAGCAGCAAAACCCGCAGUAAGGGAGCACGGGGCAUCGUACUUCGUACGGUCGAUCAGGUCGUCGCAGCGGCCUCCGCGUUGCGCUCACUGUACGGUACGGCGGCAUCUCCUGCUGUAGCAGCGCCGGCGGCAGCACGGGCAACGGCGGCGGCAGCGGCGGCGCCAGGAAAGGAGCCACCUGGGA
RNAcentral lists this long non-coding RNA (1405 nucleotides) under Volvox carteri. RNAcentral's name for it is "long non-coding RNA (VCAR_LNC001348)". Lineage: Eukaryota; Viridiplantae; Chlorophyta; Chlorophyceae; Chlamydomonadales; Volvocaceae. The record is from RNAcentral.